UACGUAGGGGGCGAGCGUUAUCCGGAUUUAUUGGGCGUAAAGCGUGCGUAGGCGGCAUGUUAAGUUUAAGAUUAAAGCCCGGGGCUCAACUCCGGUAAGUCUUAAAAACUGGCAAGCUAGAGUACGGUAGAGGCAAACGGAAUUUCUAGUGUAGCGGUGAAAUGCGUAGAUAUUAGAAGGAACACCAGUGGCGAAAGCGGUUUGCUAGGCCGAAACUGACGCUGAGGCACGAAAGCGUGGGGAGC
This 245-nucleotide ribosomal RNA is filed under the name uncultured Gammaproteobacteria bacterium. RNAcentral describes it as "partial 16S ribosomal RNA". It matches the Rfam family "Bacterial small subunit ribosomal RNA", at positions 524 to 769 of the family's 1533-position model. Lineage: Bacteria; Pseudomonadati; Pseudomonadota; Gammaproteobacteria. The record is from RNAcentral.